UAUCAGCAAGGAGACGCUGGGGAGAUGAAAGCAGUCUCAAUCAACAAACUAUGUUGAUUGAUUAACUGCCGUGCAGGCCAAAAGGGAGGCGCCAGGCUGACAGAUGCACAUCCAACCACGCGGACACAGCGGAGGCCGCGGCUGACGUAAUCGCCACUCAGACACUCUGCAUGCAGAAGUUCAGGGACGGCGGCGGAGGCCGCGGGAGACGCCAUGCCAGGUGUAAUAUGGCGUUUACUGUGACAGCGUCUCAGAGAGACAGGAGAGGAUACAGGAAUGUACACAUCAGGAUAACAGAUGGGAUCCGGUCCUGGAGCGCUGAGCCAGCCUUAGGAGGCAUCUGAUGGGAGAAUGCUGGAUGGAUGCGAUUGAGCUGGCUGUGAAGGGUUGUGGCCCGCUCAUGUGCCACAUGAAGACAGAGUAAUCCCUGAUAUCAAUAACCAAUAAAAAAUAUUAUUAAGUUAUUUUUCGGCGCACUAUAAAAAAUAAAUAGUCCUUCUGAUGAAACCGUACCACUUAUAUACGGUGAAACGCGUUAAGGAGGCUACCUACUGCAUCUAUCCAUUUUAAACCACCUGGAUCCCCUAUAUAUUGGAGGUUGCCUUUUAUACAUCUUCAUACAGCGACCCAGAGCAGCGCCUGGUUCCCCUCCCCGAGGACAUCAAGGUACCGCCGUGCUACAUAUGCGCACCACCGGAUAACAUCACAUCAGCCGGCCUUGCAGCAGCGGCAACGGUGAGAGAUCAGCUGGCGGUGGGGAGGGAUACCUUGAGAGCGCUGGGUCUUCAGAUCUAAUAACACUAACUGAGCUGGUUGGCGGCUUCUUCAUUGGAUGUACGGCGGCUACGUGCACUUAAACAUUUAUGUUUUAUACCAUCAGCAGUCCAUUUGGAGUUACAAAAAUAGCACUAUACUGUGCUUAAGUAUCCUAUAUUUGGAGCUCGAGGACAGUCACUUGUGGACUUAUUCAUUGGUAGGCAUAUGGACUAAAUUCAAGCAGUGGUAGCAAUUGUGCAAGAUAUGUUUUAUUAAUUGUAUUGUUUUUAAAUAAAUUUAAUUAAAUAAUUUUUUAACAAGUACUAUGGCAUAGCGCUCUCUUAUGAUACUGUGUAUCUAUAUUUUUUUCUUCUCUUGUCAGAGUAAUCCCUGAGUCUUGCACGGAACCAGAGGCGUCACUGGUACAG
This is a long non-coding RNA of Pseudophryne corroboree (corroboree frog), 1184 nucleotides long. RefSeq lists it as uncharacterized. The transcript is spliced from 3 exons. NCBI's taxonomy places the organism in Eukaryota, Metazoa, Chordata, Amphibia, Anura, Myobatrachidae. The record is from RefSeq and is a predicted model, not a curated record.